AGCUUGCACUUGAGUCGCAAAAGUAAUAAAUUAAUUGUAAGCCGGAUAAAUAAAUUAAUUCUAACAAAUAAGUUCGGGGUUCUGAGAUUCUCUCUUCCGAACAGGCACGGCUUACCAUUCUUUAUUUGCGAAAUAAAAUUUACGUUUAAGUCUUAUCCAUUACCAUGUCUAUUACAAUAAACAUAAUUUUAUUACAUACGUGUGUAGUAAUGUACUUGAAACAAAGCGAUAAGAUAUAUCAAACACUGUUUGCAAACCCAAAGUAAUGUGCUCGGAAUACUGUUAUCGCUGCAUAUAGGGAAUAUAUAAAGUUGUCAUUUAAAUCCAUAAUAUCAUACAAAACUGUAAGACAGAAAUAUGAAGGCGUGUUUUGUUUUCGCUGUUCUCUUGGUGGUGGCUUUUGCCACUUUCGCGCAAAGCGAGGAAGUUUCAAAUGAGCAAGAGCAUAAUUUGCAAAAAAGUCAAUUGGUGAACGAACGACUUCCCUCUUGCCAGCUUUGGGAGUGCUCAUCAAACUGUAGAAGGAGAGGCUUUAGAGGAGGAUACUGCGCUUUCAACGGAUGCCGAUGCUAUUGAUGGUUUAAGCAAACUCAACGGAUUAUAAACAAUAUUAUCAUACAACACUAACCAUUUAGGGUUUAUUUUUGUAUAAAUUUAUCAUGUUCAUUUAUUUGAAAUAUUCGCUUUGUAAUCAAUUUCAUUUCGCGCAUUCACUUCGAAUAAUGAUAUGAAAUAAUCAAAUUGUGCUGUUGAAAAUUAGUUUUAAAAUCUUUCAAUAAAUAAGUAUGCAUUGAAUGAAAAUUAUAGAUUAAAUUA
This is a long non-coding RNA of Nymphalis io (European peacock), 816 nucleotides long. RefSeq lists it as uncharacterized. The transcript is spliced from 2 exons. The record is from RefSeq and is a predicted model, not a curated record. Lineage: Eukaryota; Metazoa; Arthropoda; Insecta; Lepidoptera; Nymphalidae.